Molecule: long non-coding RNA, 6027 nt
Filed under: Lathyrus oleraceus (garden pea)
Lineage: Eukaryota; Viridiplantae; Streptophyta; Magnoliopsida; Fabales; Fabaceae
Description: Pisum sativum (pea) long non-coding RNA (PSAT_LNC011194)
Source: RNAcentral
CAGUAAAUACUUUUACAAAAGAAAAAAAAAACCACCUCCAAGAUUAAAAAAAUAAAAAUCAUAAACCUAAUAAUAAUAAUAACAAUAAUGGCUUAAUAAUUGAUGAGGUUGUUCCAAUUAAAUUUGUUGUUGAUGUGUUCAACAGCAAUGUUCCUAUUCCUCUUUAGCUUUAAUUCAGGCGUAAUGAAAGCUUAAUUUCAUAGGGGUAGUUCAUUUGUGCCUGCAUUGGACAAAAAUAUUGAUGUCAACAAUUAUUUUAUUUUAGGUCUAAUGAAAAUGAUGUUUACUUUUUUUUUUAAUUAUGAAUUAAUAAAUAUUAAUAAUUUAUUUAUAUUAUAUUAUUACCGUUUAAACUCUGAAACUGUAUUGGUGUUUUUCUAUUGUCGGUUUGUCCAAAUCCCAUUUGAACAAUUGUGUGGAGGUCAUCUUCAGAGAAUGUUAAUGGAUACUGAAAAAUUGAAAAUCAUUAUACAAGAUUAGUUAGGUAAAUAAAUUGCAUCAAAUGAAACUAUUAGGUUAAAAAAAUUGAAUAUGAUUCAACAAAGAAUAUUUAAUGAAGUUGCGGGAAUCAUAAUCAAAAUCGGUUAAUUUGCAUUUUGAUUUGAUAAAUUAGUUUUAAAAUACAAUAUUGCAAUAUAAAUGAUUGUUUAUGAUAAUCAUAUAAUCUGGAUAGUCAAAUCAAUGUCAACUGAUUUACAAUACGUUUUAACUGUAUAAAAUCAAAAUGUGAAUAGUUGAUAUUGAUCUGAUGAUCGAGAACAGACGAUGAUUAGAAAAUGCUAUUAACAUUUUUUGAAGAUAAAUUUGGAGAAAAUUGAUUAUUACCUGAGAAACAGCUUCAUGGAAUCCAUUAAGUGAAGAUAAGUGCAUGCCUAGGUUUUGGCAUAAAGCAUUUUCUAAUGGGUCCAAUGAGUUGUGGGGCAUAGUUCCAUUAGAAAUGUUAUUGUGGAUUGCUGAAUUUUGCUGGUGUUGUUGCCCAUAAAAGGAUGGUGCUGAGGAAUCUUGAGAGAAUAUUGGGUGUGCCAAAGAAUUAUUUGAUUGAAAUAUCUAAAAAAAAUACAAUUAAAAGUCAACAAAUUUAUCUUAAUAAAAAAAAACAAUACAAUAGUCUCAGAUAAGAACUCAGUUGAUAGUUAUGCAGCAGAAACAUUUAAUUAUAAAACACAUAAUUCAAAUCUGCGACAUCUUAUUUAUUUUGAAAAUUUUGACGAUCAGAAUACUUUUUAUUUAUCUAUUGAAAAACAAAUCCAUUAUCUAGAACCCUUAAACUUACAUCUUUUGAGAUUAGCCUUUCAAUACUAAAAUCCACCCUUGUGUUGACAGAAGCCAGUUUCAUAGAUAGGAACUGCAAAAAGAAAAUCAAACCAAUUUUUUUAAAAAACUUAAUGAGCAAGAAAUCUAAAUAUCAUGUGAUAAUAUGCUUAUUUCCUCUCAUUUUUAAAAUAAGUAAAAAAAAUUAUAUCUAAUUCCUAAAGUUGACUUAUUUUUUGAAGCAUUAUCUUACCUCAACUUGACGCUGCAAUGAUUGAACAUAGUUUAUAAUUUCAUCAAGCAUAAGUGCUUUUCCAGUAACCUACAUGUAAUAAUAAAAUUCAUAACAAAAAAUUAGUUAUCACAAAUUAACCAAUCAAAUUCUCUAAACCAUAAAUUUAUCAUUUUUUGUCCACCUUAUUGCAACCCGGUACAAGAUCUUGUAGAAGCUUCAUUCUUUCACUUAUUUUCUCCCUUCUAACCUAUAACAAAAUUUAGUUUUAUAUAAUGUCAAAUUUCAAGGCCAACACAUAUAUUGUCGACAUGACUUAAAACCGUGGUCUGCAACUGAAAUUACAGGCAAAAUAUAUCAGAUUCAUUGUGGUUCGCAACUGCAAUACAUAUACAAUAUAUCAAAUUCAUUGUAACUCUAAUUUUUUUUGGUAAAUAUCGAGUAUUUUUUAUGUACAACUGGAGAAACUAGUCUAUUGAAUUAAGGAGGAUCAUAAUGAACAAUGAAACUAUUUCUUAGUAGAAUUUUAAAAGUAACCCGAAUUUAAGACCAUGAUGGUUAGUGUCAAUUUUGGAAUGAAAAUGACAGUGAAAAUUCUUACUCUUUCUGCAAGACUAUGACUGUCAGUAGCUUGACCUCUUCUUGCUCUGACAUGAAUGUAAUCCUUUUGAGCCUCAGGUGGUUUUGAGUUACUCUUAUUCUGUUUUUCAUCACCUUCAUUAUUACUAUUUGUACCUCCUUUUGACUCUUCCUCUGCUUUUACUUUACCAUUUUCAACUUUUUCACCUUCACUUGUUUUCAUGCGCUUUGAAUUUGAAUCUUCACCAACUUCACAAGCCUUUAAUUGAAAAACAAAAAUGACCCUUUUGGAUUUAAGAUAUGAAAUCACCAUUUUAACUUAAAGGGUAAAAGAAAAUCAAGUAAAAAUUCAAUUUUUAUCUUACCAUUAGAGGGUUACUAGAAGUUGAAUUUUCUUUAGUUUUUCCUUUGGAAGAUGCUUUUCUUUUCCUUGAAUUCACAUAAGGAGAUGGUUUGUUACCAUUUUCAGAGAUUGUUGAUUCUUCUUGAGAAUUGUUAACUUCAAUUGGAUCAUGAAUGUUCUCUUGAGAUUGAGAUCCAAAUUCUUUCAAUGAUGGACUACUUGAAACUCUAGAUAGUUUUCCAUUUUCUAUCAAUGGAGUAGAUCUUUGACUUUGACUCAAUUGUGUUGUUGUUCUUCCAUUAAAACUCUUACUUCCAAAGCAAGAGAAUUUUGCAGCUCUUUCAGCAAAACCAGGAUCAGUUGAGAAUUGCGCAACAGUUGAAUUCAAACUCAUGUUUUGAAUGCUCAAUUUAGGAGGAGAAUUCAAAGGGGUGUUGUAGCAUGAAGUAUUGUUAUUGCUAUUGAUGUAAGAGUUUGCAACGAUCAGAGUGUGUGAGAUCUCAUCAGAACAAUUACCAAUGUUUCCCAAUUUUCCAAUCAAUUCUCUGAUGACAAAGUUCUCAUUUGACAUGUUGGAAUUGGAAGCUGCUGGUGAAGAUACCAUUGAACUAAGUGCUGAGUCAAAUUGAUGAACACAUUGAUCUGAUGGUGUGUAGAAGCAUUCUUGAUUAUGUUGUUGUUCUGAUGAAAGUGAGAGUGAUUUCCAUGUAGGAUGUGAUUGUUCAAAAUGAAGAUUAGUGUUUGAAAAAAAUUGAUUUUCCAUGGAUGUAAGGUGAAGAAUUAAAACAACCUUACUUGAAUAGGAUCUAUUGUAUAGGUUCGUACUACUGUAUCCUUGAUUUUUAAGGAGACAGAAAAAGAAAAGGCGAAGAAUUGAAGAAAUAAAGUUGAAAGAUGAAAUUGAUAUUAUGAAUAUGAAUGAAUCAUGAUAUAAUAGAAAGAAAGAAAAAAAAGUGAGUUGGAUGAUGAGGUUGAAGUGAUGAAUGAAAAGAGUGAAAUUGGUGGGAUAAAAAGAUAAGAAAAAGUGAAGUGAGAGAUAGAGAAAUAUUUAUAGAGAGAGGGAGAGAGAAAAGGAAAAGGAAGAAGGAGAUUGAUGUAGUUGUGAUAGGGGGAGACUAUAUAGAGAUCCAAGCAAGAACAAGUUUGAGUUUAAGUUCUCAAUGUUUGACCUUUUGAAUUUUUGGUGUUCUUUAUAAUAGUAGUAGUACUAUUGUUUCUUGUGUUUGAUUGUAUAAGUAGUUGUAGUCAGUAACUUGUUACUUUUGUUUUUCUAUCUCAAUCUCUCUCAUUCUCCGUCUAUUGUGUACACAUUAUUGUUUUUUAUAGCAAAUAUUACUAACAUAUUUAUACUUUCUGCUUUUGUUAUAUCAAAUAUAUCAUGCCAUCUUGUAACUUAGACAUUUCUAAUAAAUAAUACAUGAAUCCAUCCCUUGACACGUCUCUAUAUGAUUAGUUCAUUGUAAUGUUAAGAGACAAGUGUGUCAGAUUACCACUUUCCAUAUGCAUUUCUUUAACUUCUUUAGAACCCCAAAAAGAAAAUUAAAACAUACUAUUAUAGAAUAAUUAAUUCUGUCAAUAUAUAUUUAAUACAUGCAACUGUUCUGUAAACAGCACCACAUUCAAAGCAUCUUUCUGAUAAUAAUUUAAUCACAAUAUUCUGCAAAACAAUUAUAGACCCAUCAAUAUUAAAUUGUCAAGAUCAGAACCUAUAAAUCUUUUCUUAAACUUUAUAAUCUGGAUUUUUCCUAACAACUUCUCUAUAGAGUAUCUUUUCCAAACCUGAAUUCCACUAUAAACAACUUUUUUUAUUCAGAAAAUUAAUUAAAUAAAAUUUAUGAAAUUANAAGAUCAGAACCUAUAAAUCUUUUCUUAAACUUUAUAAUCUGGAUUUUUCCUAACAACUUCUCUAUAGAGUAUCUUUUCCAAACCUGAAUUCCACUAUAAACAACUUUUUUUAUUCAGAAAAUUAAUUAAAUAAAAUUUAUGAAAUUAUAAAGCUCAAUGGUUGAUUAGGCCUAGUCAGAAUUUCAACACUGUGCCAACCUGGGGAUUCCUUUAUAGUUAAAAAAAAUUUAGUUUUUAUUUUUACCAAAGAAUAUAUAUAUUUUUAUAUAAAGGGGUAGUUAUAACUUUUAACCUCUAAUUAAUCUUUAAAUGCUUUUGGAUAUAUUUUUUAAUUUCAUAAAGUAAGAAAAUUAUUUAAAGUGCACAGAAGCUUCUCUGCUGUUGGUGAACCUAAAAAAGUUACAUGUAAUAAAAAAACAUAAAGAAAAUGCCAGAAAUUAUGGUUGACCCCAUCACAAGUUAAUUACCAAAUGUCAUCAUCAUUGAAAUAAGAAAAAAAAGAGAGAUUCAAUUAUUAAAUUAAUAAAAGUAAGACCCCCCUAUAUAUAUUACAGCUGGUUACCAACAUAAAUUAACAUAAGGUUAAUUGACAUGACAUAUAAUGAGAUUUUGAUAAAGACAUAAGAAAAUUCUUUUAUGAUCUGUUUAGAUAUAUAAAUCAUAUACAAAUAUCAGUAAAAUCUUAAUUUAACUAAUUAAACAUCGAUAUUAUUAGAUUGAAUUUUGUUUGAAUUCUCAAAUUUAUAGAUAUGUGUUGAUAUUUUUAAUUGUUAUAACCAAUAUAUGUACGUAAAAAAGAGAAGAAAAAUUUAAUUUUUUUAGAUAAAUAUUUCCACAUCACACCGUCAAAAUAAUAUCAUUAGUUUGAUCUCACUCGUAAGAUUGAAAAAUAAUAUAUAUUUUUUAAAAUUAUCAACUUUAAAUCACGAAUGUCUGAUCCUGAUUGGAAAAUCAAGUAUAUUUAAUAUGUGAAAUUUGGGUCCAAGAAAAUGUGAGUAAGGUGUUAAGAGUCCCACAUCGGACAAUAUAUGGUCUGAACAUGACUUUAUAAGUGGGGACAACCCUCAUUCUACUAACCUGUUUUGUAGGAUUGAGUUAGGCUCAAUCACACAUUCUUAACAUGGUAUCAGAUCAUUGUUUAAGAUCCGGUGGACCACCUACUAUGGUUUUCAUUAUCGGUUUCCACGCUCCAGAUGUGUUAAGAGUCUCACAUCGGACAAUAUAUGUCCAGUCCUGUCCUGUGAGGGGUGUGUUAAGAGUCUCACAUCAGACAAUAUAUGACAUGAACAUGACUUUAUAAGUGGGGACAACCCUCACUCUACCAACCGGUUUUGUAGGGUUGAAUUAGGUCCAAUCACACAUUCUUAACUUAAGGUAACUCAAAAAGAUAAAUCAACAAUUUAAAAAUAAAAUAUUUAUACACAAAACAUAAAAUAAUAGAGAAAGUGAAGAGUGAUAAUGAUAGGUGGCACAAAAACGCCUUUAAUUAAUUAGCACUAUAUCUCACAAUUGGUGCCAUAAUAAUAAGAAUUUGCACCAAGAUCCUAAAGAUUUUACAGUAAAUACUUUUACAAAAGAAAAAAACCACCUCCAAGAUAAAAAAUAAAAAUAAAAAUCAUAAACCUAAUAAUAAUAAUAACAAUAAUGGCUUAAUAAUUGAUGAGGUUGUUCCAAUUAAAUUUGUUGUUGAUGUGUUCAACAGCAAUGUUCCUAUUCCUCUUUAGCUUUAAUUCAGGCGUAAUGAAAGCUUAAUUUCAUAGGGGUAGUUGAUUUGUGC